UAUUUUCUUUGGAUUUCAGGAGGAAAAACUAGAUGGCGUUUACGUGCGUCCAUGAUAAAUAUUACGAGUGACAAGUUAAAUUGGUGUUUGUUACGUUUCUACCCUGUUCAGUGUUUUAAAGGGUUUUUCAUCAAAUAUUAAUGGGUUUCGCCUUGUCAGCUGCUGAACCUUAGCCUGCAUUCCUGCUAUCAUCAAUGUUGUCAAUAUUUUAAGCCCGACUAAGCUAGGGGCACUCACCCCGUUCGGUUCCUGACAUUCCUCCUUCAUGCGAAGCUAGGGGUUGAGCGCUCCUAAAACUAAGUUGGAUAAAACAAAAAAGUAAAAAAUUCUUAGGCAUUACGCCUUAGUUGUUACUGGUUGUCUUCUGAAUGUAGAUUGCAUUCUAUUUUAAACAUUCUCUUGGUUGCAACACUAAAAUUUGCCACUUUUUUGUGACAACCUGAGAGACACUUAUUUUCAUGAUUAUUUGCAUGAUACACUCGAUUGUUGUUUGAAGGUGGAUUGUUACCAGACAUCCUUUGAAUGGUACGCCCACUAUCAGCAGCCUUACAGUGUGCUUCAUAAAUACGUCAACCCCUGAGAUAAUAAUAUCAUUGGAAAUUGUGGUUUUGUUCUCCACUUUUAUUAUCCAUAUGCAAUUUUCGCGCUACUUUAUUUCCUUCAUGGUGUGAUAUUUUAUCAUCCUGGAAGAAGGAUUCUGGAAAUUGAUGAUUUCUAAUAUACAGCUGGUUUUCAGAUAACAAGUUUAAUGUAUUUACAUAUCAGAAUGAUCUCCCAAUUUGAAGUUGUGAGUGUCUUAUCUGAUUAUAGAUUUCUACUUUGAAAACCAAACUAUUUCCUUCUACAAAUGGAUUUUGAAGUAUCAUGCAUGUGGUAUUAUGUACUCUAUGAUAUCUUUGCGAAGCCUUUAAUUGAUGUUAUACCAAAAAAAUUCCCAUGGAAGGAAGUUCUUGCAGGAUCUGUUAUCAACCGUCUAUGUUAUGCAGUAAUUGGAUCUGCAGUUUAGUUAAAACUUUAACUUAGAAAUAUGCUCAGCGUAAAAUUGAUAUGGAGAAAAAUGAUAUUUGAUUGGAAGAAGUUCCUGGUUGAGACAAGAGAUUAAAAAAAUGAUACUGUUUGGAAGGACGACCGGCAAUUUCAAGAUUCAUUUAUUUCCUUCCACAUUAAACUAUUUAUAUAUUUUUAAAAAUUGAAUUGCAUAUCUGGGCUCCCUUCUUUUCUGUGGCCCCGUUUCCCCUUGACUUAUGAUAAGCCCGCAGGGGGUCAUGCCCCUACUGUGAUCAGCAGCAAAGGUUG
This is a long non-coding RNA of Daphnia magna, 1296 nucleotides long. RefSeq lists it as uncharacterized. The record is from RefSeq and is a predicted model, not a curated record. Lineage: Eukaryota; Metazoa; Arthropoda; Branchiopoda; Diplostraca; Daphniidae. The transcript has 9 exons.